GGGGCAGUAGCUCAGUUGGGAGAGCGGCACGUUCGCAACGUGUAGGUCGGCGGUUCGAAUCCGCUCUGCUCCACCA
This 76-nucleotide transfer RNA is filed under the name Deltaproteobacteria bacterium CG_4_8_14_3_um_filter_45_9. RNAcentral's name for it is "tRNA-Ala". It matches the Rfam family "tRNA". Rfam says of the family: Transfer RNA (tRNA) molecules are approximately 80 nucleotides in length. Their secondary structure includes four short double-helical elements and three loops (D, anti-codon, and T loops). Lineage: Bacteria; Deltaproteobacteria. The record is from RNAcentral. RNAcentral also lists the same sequence under 1 other name.